This is a long non-coding RNA of Hippocampus comes (tiger tail seahorse), 1697 nucleotides long. RefSeq lists it as uncharacterized. The transcript has 6 exons. NCBI's taxonomy places the organism in Eukaryota, Metazoa, Chordata, Actinopteri, Syngnathiformes, Syngnathidae. The record is from RefSeq and is a predicted model, not a curated record.
CUUUCAGAGACAGCGGUUACUACAGUGGACAGUUUAUCAUGUGACAGGGUACAUGAAAUGGUUAAUAUGUAACGUGAACGAUUCCACGCAAAAAUGGGAUUUGACCCCCAAAUCCAAACUAAGCCUUCAGACCUGCAGUCUGAACGUAGCCUAAGAGCCCCUAAUUUAUUCUAAUUGGCAACUAGUUCUCAUGUUUCAGUUCUGCUUUUUUUUUCCUGUCUCCAGUUUACUGGGUGAUUGCUCGUGGGUGGAGCCAACGGCGACACACCUGUUGACCGUGACAAUCAGUCUGGAAUUUUUUGUGUUUCCUGUUUUUGAGGUAUGCUACAGGCUGUACUCACUUUGUGUUAUCCGGUUUGCUUUUCUAAGUCCUUCUUCUGUUAUUUUGUUUGGUUUUCGCUUUAUAGUUUUUAGUAUUUCUUUAUGUUGUUUAGAUGAGAUUCUGUUUUACUAUUUUUAUUCCUUGUGUCAACCUUCAGCUGUCCCUCUGCCAAUCUCUCUUGGUUUAGUUUUUUUUUAGUGCUCGUAGUAUGUGUUUCACACUCAAGGACUUUCGGCAUAAUUGAACAACUUAAGCUGGACGACAAUUACUGCUACUGGUCACUUAAAAAUAGUGGAACGAUGAUCUGCAUCACCUGCACAACCGUCAUCGUAUUUUUGAUGGAUUGUAACACGAGUUUGCUCUCGAAAGAAGUACGGCGUGACGUCGGCGAAGGUCUUGUCUGCGCAACGCUGGCAUGCAAACGGGAGUCCAGAAAGUGCGAGACUGCAAGCCCCCCAGGUACAAGCCUCUUGCCGCAUCAGAGCUGUAACAGAAGACUUAUCCCCCUUCUUCCGCAGGAUCCAGCAAAGUGGGAUAAUGCAGCGGCUGUGUGCACUUUCACACAGCGACACGCCAUCCUGUAAUCUGAUAAUUAGAUGACAUCAUUGCCAGCUUUCGGUGUGUCCAAGUUGCUCUCAAUGCAACGGGGUGGGGAGAGAAAAAAGCCAGCUCGACAUCCUUUCCGUUCCUAGUCUACCCUUUACUUGUUAGUGCUGUCUUUCAUUCCUUUCCUCAAUUUUCCAUGAAGGCAAUUAAGUCAAGUGCCAUUCUUGUAGUUAGAGUUAUCCAAAAUGUCUCUGUUAAGAUGACAAAUUGGCCACUCAGCGGGCUUGCCAAGCUCCUGAUUGAUCGAUUUAAGAGCUGUGUCCCAGUACAGGUAGAGCAUGGAUGAAACUCCUGAACACGAUUCCCUGAGGCCCAAUUAAGAAAGCUGUCUCACUCAACCUGCCUCUGAUUGACCUGCCCACUCAAGUCCGAGACCUCCGUGUUAAUGAGAGACAGAGAAUGGAAGAAUGUGUGGGAGGGCGAUAACGUGUUCUAUUUUAAAAGACGGAAGGCUUGAAUUUAUAAACGGAUGGAGGUACGAACGCACGCACGAGUUACUCACCUCUCGCAAUGGCGAGCAGCGCCAGCAGCAACAUCAGCAGCCAGCCUUCCUCCAUCAUCCUCAUCCUCACCAUCCCCAGCCCGAAAGCGGCUACCUGGCACCCUGACGUCAUGGUGAGCUCCUGCGCCGACGAUGGAGGACCACCAAGAGGGGAGAGGACGCGUGGAAAUCGUCUCGCUGGGGUCCGCAGGAAGCUGGCUUCCCUGCAGCGCUGCAGCUGAGCCUCAGCCUGCUGCCGACUCACGCCACCAUGGUACCAGCUUGCCG